GGCAUGCUUAACACAUGCAAGUCGCACGGGCAGCAAUGUCAGUGGCGGACGGGUGAGUAACGCGUAGGGAAGUGUCCAGAGGUGGGGGACAACCCCGGGAAACUGGGGCUAAUACCGCAUAUGGCCUGAGGGCCAAAGCAGUGAUGCGCCUUUGGAGUUACCUGCGUCCGAUUAGCUAGUUGGUGGGGUAAAGGCCUACCAAGGCGACGAUCGGUAGCUGGUCUGAGAGGACGACCAGCCACACUGGGACUGAGACACGGCCCAGACUCCUACGGGAGGCAGCAGUGGGGAAUAUUGGACAAUGGGCGCAAGCCUGAUCCAGCAAUGCCGCGUGGGUGAAGAAGGUCUUCGGAUCGUAAAGCCCUUUCGGCGGGGACGAUGAUGACGGUACCCGCAGAAGAAGCCCCGGCUAACUUCGUGCCAGCAGCCGCGGUAAUACGAAGGGGGCUAGCGUUACUCGGAAUUACUGGGCGUAAAGGGCGCGUAGGCGGCGUUCCAAGUUAGGCGUGAAAGUCCUGGGCUCAACCUGGGAACUGCGCUUAAGACUGGAGUGCUAGAGGAUGGAAGAGGGUUGUGGAAUUCCCAGUGUAGAGGUGAAAUUCGUAGAUAUUGGGAAGAACACCGGUGGCGAAGGCGGCAACCUGGUCCAUUACUGACGCUGAGGCGC
This 667-nucleotide ribosomal RNA is filed under the name Teichococcus ruber. RNAcentral describes it as "bacterial SSU rRNA". It matches the Rfam family "Bacterial small subunit ribosomal RNA", at positions 41 to 754 of the family's 1533-position model. The record is from RNAcentral. Lineage: Bacteria; Pseudomonadati; Pseudomonadota; Alphaproteobacteria; Acetobacterales; Roseomonadaceae.